Mesocricetus auratus (golden hamster) is the source of this 1042-nucleotide long non-coding RNA. RefSeq lists it as uncharacterized. The transcript has 3 exons. NCBI's taxonomy places the organism in Eukaryota, Metazoa, Chordata, Mammalia, Rodentia, Cricetidae. The record is from RefSeq and is a predicted model, not a curated record.
CUUCCCCAGCAUAAUCAGAGGAAUGCAUCUUAUCCAUAUAAAAAAGUAUCCUUGUAUCUUUUGACAAUAGAACCUCAGUCUUGGGGCAUGUGAGAGACUCUUCCAAAUUCAGGGACAUUUGAAGAGAAGAAAACCCAGGAAAACCAAGAUGCAAUCCUGCAGGACAUCUGGGAGCCCUCAGAUACAGUGUAAAUGGAGGCUCCCAUUAAAUUUCUUCUGCUUGGCUCUCAUCCAGUAUUCCACACUGUCAAAAUCAUUUUAAAUCCUGACACUGUUGGUUAUCGGCUCUACUUUCCUCUCUGGUUUCAUUGCGCCUGCCUUUUAAGCCUUCACCAAGUCCUUGACAAAGCCUACAAUUUGAGACUACUCUACCAGUUAUCAUUGGGUUAUAUAUACAAGCUGGAAAACUGAAUCCGCAGCUUGAGUAUCUCCUGCAGCUUUUGAAAACGGCUUCUCAUACUCCUCCCCUGAAACCCCUACCCAGGAGGUAGGGAGUGGAGGUAACCCUGCUUCUAACAGGCUCCUAAGAGAUGCUGAGUGGUGAGAGCCAUAAGACCUAAUGGCUCAGGCAUGUCAGGAUUUCAUUAUUUUCUCCUAAAUUGAAGAAAGGCCAUUGAGGGGUAUGCCUGGGUUUCAGAACCCAGAUUCCUUCUGUCUUACCCCUUCCACACAAGACAGGGCACCCUACUCACGGCAUCCAGCCGUUAUGGCCACACUCAAAACAGUGAGGAGAAAGAGGAAGAAAUGGAUGACUUCUCUGGUGUUCAGAAUUGUGUCUCAGAAGCUGUGCUCGGCACUUUGGCUGACUCUCAUCUUCUUGGCUUAAGCAGUCUCGCAAAUCAUGCUAACUGGAAAGAAAUCUGGGAACUUCAUCUUCAUUUUGGGUGUCAUAUGCCCAACAAAAAAUCCAGACAAAGAAACUAUAUUUCUGACAUUACUUAACAUCAGUAUUAUUACAAUUGAUGGGUCCCUCUAACGUCCCAGCUGGGAGUUUGUUAUCUAAUCCCUACUAUGUGUUAGACAGUUAAUAAAAAAGCUCUGA